AGGACGAACGCUGGCGGCGUGCUUAACACAUGCAAGUCGAACGGUAAGGCCUUUCGGGGUACACGAGUGGCGAACGGGUGAGUAACACGUGGGUGAUCUGCCCUGCACUUUGGGAUAAGCCUGGGAAACUGGGUCUAAUACCGAAUAUGACCAUUGGUUGCAUGACUGGUGGUGGAAAGCUUUUGCGGUGUGGGAUGGGCCCGCGGCCUAUCAGCUUGUUGGUGGGGUUAAGGCCUACCAAGGCGACGACGGGUAGCCGGCCUGAGAGGGUGUCCGGCCACACUGGGACUGAGAUACGGCCCAGACUCCUACGGGAGGCAGCAGUGGGGAAUAUUGCACAAUGGGCGCAAGCCUGAUGCAGCGACGCCGCGUGAGGGACGACGGCCUUCGGGUUGUAAACCUCUUUCAGUAGGGACGAAGCGCAAGUGACGGUACCUACGAGAAGAAGGACCGGCCAACUACGUGCCAGCAGCCGC
This 476-nucleotide ribosomal RNA is filed under the name uncultured bacterium. RNAcentral's name for it is "SSU rRNA". It matches the Rfam family "Bacterial small subunit ribosomal RNA", at positions 26 to 518 of the family's 1533-position model. The record is from RNAcentral.